Molecule: small nucleolar RNA, 122 nt
Organism: Molossus molossus (Pallas's mastiff bat)
Lineage: Eukaryota; Metazoa; Chordata; Mammalia; Chiroptera; Molossidae
Product: small nucleolar RNA SNORA26
Exons: 1
Source: RefSeq, a predicted model, not a curated record
GUGCCCUUUUAGGGCUGACGCAGGGCCUUAGGAGGCUGAGACAGAAGGGUACAGUAAGUCCCCAUAAAACCCAGAGAAGAGAGGGUAAGACUCCUCUUUGGAUUCUGUCUGGAGUCACAGCU